This 720-nucleotide ribosomal RNA is filed under the name uncultured organism. RNAcentral's name for it is "bacterial SSU rRNA". It matches the Rfam family "Bacterial small subunit ribosomal RNA", at positions 27 to 750 of the family's 1533-position model. The record is from RNAcentral.
GGAUGAAUGCUAGCGGCGCGCUUAACGCAUGCAAGUCGAGCGAUGAGGCUCCCUUCGGGGAGUACAUCAGCGGCAGACGGGUGAGUAACACGUAGAUAACCUGCCCUCAAGACGGGGACAACCGGUGGAAACAGCGGCUAAUACCCGAUAUGCUCACAGGAUCGGGAGGUCGAGUGAGGAAAGCGCCCCUUCGGGGGAGAGUGUUUGAGGAGGGAUCUGCGGCCCAUCAGCUAGUUGGUGAGGUAACGGCUCACCAAGGCGAAGACGGGUAGGGGGUGUGAGAGCAUGGCCCCCCACAAUGGGACUGAGACACGGCCCAUACUCCUACGGGAGGCAGCAGCGGGGAAUAUUGCGCAAUGGACGGAAGUCAGACGCAGCGACGCCGCGUGGGUGAGGAAGGCCUUCGGGUUGUAAAGCCCUUUUCAGGGGAGCGAGAAAGGACGGUACCCUUGGAAUAAGCGUCGGCUAACUACGUGCCAGCAGCCGCGGCAAGACGUAGGACGCAAGCGUUAUCCGGAUUUACUGGGCGUAAAGCGCCUGUAGGCGGUCAAGUAAGUCGGAUGUGAAAAGCCCCGUGCUCAACGCGGGGAAGCCAUUCGAUACUGCGUGACUAGAGAACGGCAGAGGGAAACGGAAUUUCUGGUGUAGCGGUAAAAUGCGCAGAGAUCAGAAAGAACACCGAUGGCGAAGGCAGUUUCCUAGGCCGCAUCUGACGCUGAG